This 490-nucleotide ribosomal RNA is filed under the name uncultured bacterium. Its description in RNAcentral is "partial 16S ribosomal RNA". It matches the Rfam family "Bacterial small subunit ribosomal RNA", at positions 30 to 507 of the family's 1533-position model. The record is from RNAcentral.
AUUGAACGCUGGCGGCAGGCCUAACACAUGCAAGUCGAACGGUAACAGGAAGACGCUUGCUUCUUUGCUGACGAGUGGCGGACGGGUGAGUAAUGUCUGGGAAACUGCCUGAUGGAGGGGGAUAACUACUGGAAACGGUAGCUAAUACCGCAUAACGUCGCAAGACCAAAGAGGGGGACCUUCGGGCCUCUUGCCAUCGGAUGUGCCCAGAUGGGAUUAGCUAGUAGGUGGGGUAACGGCUCACCUAGGCGACGAUCCCUAGCUGGUCUGAGAGGAUGACCAGCCACACUGGAACUGAGACACGGUCCAGACUCCUACGGGAGGCAGCAGUGGGGAAUAUUGCACAAUGGGCGCAAGCCUGAUGCAGCCAUGCCGCGUGUAUGAAGAAGGCCUUCGGGUUGUAAAGUACUUUCAGCGGGGAGGAAGGGAGUAAAGUUAAUACCUUUGCUCAUUGACGUUACCCGCAGAAGAAGCGCCGGCUAACUCCGUG